GAUGAACGCUGGCGGCGUGCUUAACACAUGCAAGUCGAACGAUGAAGCCCAGCUUGCUGGGUGGAUUAGUGGCGAACGGGUGAGUAACACGUGAGUAACCUGCCCUUAACUCUGGGAUAAGCCUGGGAAACUGGGUCUAAUACCGGAUAGGAGCGUCCACCGCAUGGUGGGUGUUGGAAAGAUUUAUCGGUUUUGGAUGGACUCGCGGCCUAUCAGCUUGUUGGUGAGGUAAUGGCUCACCAAGGCGACGACGGGUAGCCGGCCUGAGAGGGUGACCGGCCACACUGGGACUGAGACACGGACCAGAAUCCUACGGGAGGCAGCAGUGGGGAAUAUUGCACAAUGGGCGCAAGCCUGAUGCAGCGACGCCGCGUGAGGGAUGACGGCCUUCGGGUUGUAAACCUCUUUCAGUAGGGAAGAAGCGAAAGUGACGGUACCUGCAGAAGAAGCACCGGCUAACUACGUG
Molecule: ribosomal RNA, 466 nt
Filed under: uncultured bacterium
Lineage: Bacteria
Description: partial 16S ribosomal RNA
Rfam family: Bacterial small subunit ribosomal RNA
Source: RNAcentral